GAUGAACGCUGGCGGCGUGCCUAAUACAUGCAAGUCGAGCGAACGGACGAGAAUCUUGCUUCUCUGAUGUUAGCGGCGGACGGGUGAGUAACACGUGGAUAACCUACCUAUAAGACUGGGAUAACUUCGGGAAACCGGAGCUAAUACCGGAUAAUAUUUUGAACCGCAUGGUUCAAAAGUGAAAGACGGUCUUUCUGUCACUUAUAGAUGGAUCCGCGCUGCAUUAGCUAGUUGGUAAGGUAACGGCUUACCAAGGCAACGAUGCAUAGACGACCUGAGAGGGGGAGCGGAAAAAAGGGAAGUGAGACACGGAAAAGAAUACGACGGGAGGAAGCAGAAGGGAAGAUUACGAAAUGGGCGAAAGAAUGACGGAGAAAAGCAGAGGGAGAGAUGAAGGAAUGAGGAUAGGAAAAAACUGUUAUGAGGGAAGAAAAAAAGUGGAAGAAAAAGAGAAAAGAGUGACGGUAACUAAACAGAAAGCAACGGCUAACUACGUG
This 497-nucleotide ribosomal RNA is filed under the name uncultured bacterium. Its description in RNAcentral is "partial 16S ribosomal RNA". It matches the Rfam family "Bacterial small subunit ribosomal RNA", at positions 28 to 507 of the family's 1533-position model. The record is from RNAcentral.